AGUUUUUCCCAUAUGAUAUUUGUCAAAUUCAGAAAUUACAUUAAAGAGUUAGUUGCGCUGGUAUACAUUCAUAUUCUUAUCACAAUUGUAGAAAACGAGUUCUAGUAAACCGAUAGAAACAUAGAAAAUCGAUUGCUCGCGUGACACACGAAUUCUAAAAAUUUGUUUGUGUAUUUUGUUUUAGCUUAUCGCUCUUGGGUAUUUUAGAAGCCGAGCUUCGAAAUCGACUUCAGUUCCUAAGAGAGCUAUCACGAUGAAACUACAAUGGCUCCUGUUUGCCUUCUUGGUGUGCUGUUUGGUCAGCCAUUCAUACGCUUACUAUCCUAAAUAUUGCUGCCUGUAUACUGGACAUGGCAUAAGAAUAUGUUGCAACCGUAGAAAGCGGCACACAAUUGCAAAGAGAUAUUCAUGGUGUAGUGACCCCUUCGGCUAUGGUUAAAAGGCGAAAUAUGGAAAAUGUAAAUGGGAAAAUAGUUAAAUUAAUAAAGUCCGUUUUUAG
Drosophila simulans is the source of this 499-nucleotide long non-coding RNA. RefSeq lists it as uncharacterized. The record is from RefSeq and is a predicted model, not a curated record. NCBI's taxonomy places the organism in Eukaryota, Metazoa, Arthropoda, Insecta, Diptera, Drosophilidae. The transcript is spliced from 2 exons.